AUAACGACUCUCGGCAACGGAUAUCUACGUGCUCGCAUCGAUGAAGAACGUAGCGAAAUGCGAUACUUGGUGUGAAUUGCAGAAUCCCGUGAACCAUCGAGUUUUUGAACCAAGUUGCGCCCGAAGCCAUUAGCGAGGGCACGUCCUGCCUGCGUCCAGCAUC
This 163-nucleotide ribosomal RNA is filed under the name Scrophularia ningpoensis. RNAcentral's name for it is "5.8S ribosomal RNA". It matches the Rfam family "5.8S ribosomal RNA". Rfam says of the family: 5.8S ribosomal RNA (5.8S rRNA) is a component of the large subunit of the eukaryotic ribosome. The record is from RNAcentral. Lineage: Eukaryota; Viridiplantae; Streptophyta; Magnoliopsida; Lamiales; Scrophulariaceae.